This is a long non-coding RNA of Aphis gossypii (cotton aphid), 2095 nucleotides long. RefSeq lists it as uncharacterized. Lineage: Eukaryota; Metazoa; Arthropoda; Insecta; Hemiptera; Aphididae. The record is from RefSeq and is a predicted model, not a curated record. The transcript has 4 exons.
ACACUAUUUGUUCGUAUCGUUAUAAAGAAUAUAAAAAUAUAUACAAUGUUGCUUAAAAGGAAACACCUAACUCACAUUUUAAUCAAAUUUUGUUUAACUUAUAAUAUUAUAAAUACGUUUAUUAAGUUCCCAUUACACAGAAAUUAAUAUUUUCAAUCUUUAAUAAAGUGAAAAAUAGUGUGAUAUUUUCACUUAAGUCAAUAUAUUUAUCAAACAUUAAUAUUGUCUGUCUCACACAUGUAAAAUACUUGGAAAAUGUUUAAAUGUUUUGAUUUUUAAGAAGGUUACAGAUUUUAGUAUCAUACAUGAACAAUAUCAAAUAUUAAUGAGUGAAAUGUAGCGAUGGAUUGUAUCUAGCUAGCUGGAUAAGACACACGACAUGGUACUAAAAAUUUGUCUAAGAUUGAAGAUUCUUCGUCUAGAGGUUUUUUGGAGUGCAAUUGAUCAUGGCAAGUUUUCUUUAUAUUAGGAGCUUUUAUAGUCAUAUCCGGAACAGGGUUUGAACCGACGACCGGGAGGGGACCGCUUUCGCAUUGCUUCCUCCCAGCCGCCAAAUUCUAGAGUGAUACUCGCAUACAUAACAUAUUAUAUAUUAUUAUAGGUAUCGCCGUAUCGGUAGAUACAUUUGAGUCCACCAAAGUGUUUACCAAAGUGUUUAAUAUGUGGAGCGUGGAAAACGGAAACUAUACAAUGCAGGGCCAUGUUAUAUAACACGAACUACUUUUUCUCUCUCAAGUCGGUAGUGAUCUAAUUAUACCCAUCGGACAUCAUAAUAUGGUGUGCUGUCUAACGCGUUUGUAGGCCGUUCUUCUCUAAAUAAUAUGAUACAAUAAAUAUAUUAAAUUAAUAUAGGUAUAAUGUAUAUAUUAUUAUACAUUAUAAGUUUAUAACCUAAAAUCAUCAAUCAUCGUAGUAAGCCAAGUUCACGUGACGGUAGUAUAAUAUAUUUAAAUUGUAUAUACACUGGACGUAGUUCCAUAUAGUUACUUCCUAGUACCAUUCCAUUCGAGCAUUAUAGAUUAUCAUAUUAUAAUCCAUGGUCCAUACGACGACACCCGUGAUAUGUCACGUAUCCUCGACUCUAUUAUACUGUAUAUUAUAUUGUAACCAUCUACCUAUAACAUUUUUAACUCUUUUUUUUUAUUAUUCGCUCUCUUAUCGGUCGACAUUUGCCAACAAUGGCUUUGAGGGUCUACCGCAGUCGCAUUUUACCGACCGAAUCCGACAUUUUUAUUAUUUGAUUCGACGUAAUAUAGCUGUUAUAUAUAUGUAUAUAUAUUGGUACACCGACGCCACCCACGGCACGGCACUUACAAGGACCCUGACCGUGUACCCGCAAUACCGUAGUCGAGAAUUUACGUAUUAUAAUGUAAUAAAUUGUAUUAUGAUGAUUCCGAAAACUUUUCUUAAAAUAAAACUCUAACAAGUAACACGUAGCGGCUCCCAUGCAACACAGUGGCUGGAGGUUCUCUGAGCAACUCGUUUUAUAAUAUUGUAAUAUAACAUUUAAAAUGAGUCAACGCUGUUAUAGUAUUGUAUAUAUUAUUAUAUAUUCGACUUUAAACAUGGAAUUUUUUAGGCAAAAAUCGACAAAAACCGCGAACGUUGUAAACGCAUGGUACUCGGUGGUUUUGGAUUGUUUGAAACGAACGAAAUUAGUAUUUAAUUUCUAUGUAUUGUUUUGAGACUCAGCCACCCAGGUCAAGGUCAUAAAACAUAUUAUUAUUAGAUAGGUGAAACUACAUCAUAAUAAGUACACAAAGAUGCCGCAAUUUUGUUUUUCGUACGCAUUUUUACAAUUAAAAGUGUCCGUUCCUCUAAUAAAAUAUUCAUCACGCGUCCUUAGACGCCAAUUAAAAAAAUAUUUCAAUAAUACCAGUGGCGGCGCCAGGAAUUUUAUCUUGGGAGACCCGUUGGUGGCCUUUGAAAAUUUGAUAGGGCCAAAAAAAGUCAAUCCGUGGUCUUUUUCCCAUUCAUAGACUCAGUAUAGGGUAAAGGGCUUACUAUCUAUUGUAAAGAUUGUGUUGCAUAUACUAAGUUUUCAUUUUAACUGAUAAUAAAUAUCAUUUAAGUAUAGGUAUAUUAUUUAAUAUUU